RNAcentral lists this ribosomal RNA (94 nucleotides) under Clostridioides difficile DA00149. Lineage: Bacteria; Bacillati; Bacillota; Clostridia; Peptostreptococcales; Peptostreptococcaceae. The record is from RNAcentral. RNAcentral also lists the same sequence under 1 other name.
UGCGGCCAUAUCUACCAGAAAGCACCGUUUCCCGUCCGAUCAACUGUAGUUAAGCUGGUAAGAGCCUGACCGAGUAGUGUAGUGGGUGACCAUA